RNAcentral lists this ribosomal RNA (2802 nucleotides) under Klebsiella pneumoniae. Its description in RNAcentral is "bacterial LSU rRNA". It matches the Rfam family "Bacterial large subunit ribosomal RNA". Lineage: Bacteria; Pseudomonadati; Pseudomonadota; Gammaproteobacteria; Enterobacterales; Enterobacteriaceae. The record is from RNAcentral.
AUAACCGGCGAUGUCCGAAUGGGGAAACCCAGUGCAAUUCGUUGCACUAUCGUUAACUGAAUACAUAGGUUAACGAGGCGAACCGGGGGAACUGAAACAUCUAAGUACCCCGAGGAAAAGAAAUCAACCGAGAUUCCCCCAGUAGCGGCGAGCGAACGGGGAGCAGCCCAGAGUCUGAAUCAGCUUGUGUGUUAGUGGAACGGUCUGGAAAGUCCGACGGUACAGGGUGAUAGUCCCGUACACCAAAAUGCACAGGUUGUGAACUCGAAGAGUAGGGCGGGACACGUGGUAUCCUGUCUGAAUAUGGGGGGACCAUCCUCCAAGGCUAAAUACUCCUGACUGACCGAUAGUGAACCAGUACCGUGAGGGAAAGGCGAAAAGAACCCCGGCGAGGGGAGUGAAAAAGAACCUGAAACCGUGUACGUACAAGCAGUGGGAGCACCUUCGGGUGUGACUGCGUACCUUUUGUAUAAUGGGUCAGCGACUUAUAUUCUGUAGCAAGGUUAACCGUAUAGGGGAGCCGCAGGGAAACCGAGUCUUAACUGGGCGUUAAGUUGCAGGGUAUAGACCCGAAACCCGGUGAUCUAGCCAUGGGCAGGUUGAAGGUUGGGUAACACUAACUGGAGGACCGAACCGACUAAUGUUGAAAAAUUAGCGGAUGACUUGUGGCUGGGGGUGAAAGGCCAAUCAAACCGGGAGAUAGCUGGUUCUCCCCGAAAGCUAUUUAGGUAGCGCCUCGUGAACUCAUCUUCGGGGGUAGAGCACUGUUUCGGCUAGGGGGUCAUCCCGACUUACCAACCCGAUGCAAACUACGAAUACCGAAGAAUGUUAUCACGGGAGACACACGGCGGGUGCUAACGUCCGUCGUGAAGAGGGAAACAACCCAGACCGCCAGCUAAGGUCCCAAAGUCAUGGUUAAGUGGGAAACGAUGUGGGAAGGCACAGACAGCCAGGAUGUUGGCUUAGAAGCAGCCAUCAUUUAAAGAAAGCGUAAUAGCUCACUGGUCGAGUCGGCCUGCGCGGAAGAUGUAACGGGGCUAAACCAUGCACCGAAGCUGCGGCAGCGACACUAUGUGUUGUUGGGUAGGGGAGCGUUCUGUAAGCCUGCGAAGGUGUGCUGUGAGGCAUGCUGGAGGUAUCAGAAGUGCGAAUGCUGACAUAAGUAACGAUAAAGCGGGUGAAAAGCCCGCUCGCCGGAAGACCAAGGGUUCCUGUCCAACGUUAAUCGGGGCAGGGUGAGUCGACCCCUAAGGCGAGGCCGAAAGGCGUAGUCGAUGGGAAACAGGUUAAUAUUCCUGUACUUGGUGUUACUGCGAAGGGGGGACGGAGAAGGCUAUGUUAGCCGGGCGACGGUUGUCCCGGUUUAAGCAUGUAGGCUGGUUGUCCAGGCAAAUCCGGAUAAUCAAGGCUGAGGUGUGAUGACGAGGCACUACGGUGCUGAAGUAACAAAUGCCCUGCUUCCAGGAAAAGCCUCUAAGCAUCAGGUAACAUUAAAUCGUACCCCAAACCGACACAGGUGGUCAGGUAGAGAAUACCAAGGCGCUUGAGAGAACUCGGGUGAAGGAACUAGGCAAAAUGGUGCCGUAACUUCGGGAGAAGGCACGCUGGUGUGUAGGUGAAGUCCCUGCGGAUGGAGCUGAGACCAGUCGAAGAUACCAGCUGGCUGCAACUGUUUAUUAAAAACACAGCACUGUGCAAACACGAAAGUGGACGUAUACGGUGUGACGCCUGCCCGGUGCCGGAAGGUUAAUUGAUGGGGUUAUCCGUAAGGAGAAGCUCUUGAUCGAAGCCCCGGUAAACGGCGGCCGUAACUAUAACGGUCCUAAGGUAGCGAAAUUCCUUGUCGGGUAAGUUCCGACCUGCACGAAUGGCGUAAUGAUGGCCAGGCUGUCUCCACCCGAGACUCAGUGAAAUUGAACUCGCUGUGAAGAUGCAGUGUACCCGCGGCAAGACGGAAAGACCCCGUGAACCUUUACUAUAGCUUGACACUGAACAUUGAGCCUUGAUGUGUAGGAUAGGUGGGAGGCUUUGAAGCGUGGACGCCAGUCUGCGUGGAGCCAACCUUGAAAUACCACCCUUUAAUGUUUGAUGUUCUAACGUUGGCCCCUUACCGGGGUUGCGGACAGUGUCUGGUGGGUAGUUUGACUGGGGCGGUCUCCUCCCAAAGCGUAACGGAGGAGCACGAAGGUUAGCUAAUCCUGGUCGGACAUCAGGAGGUUAGUGCAAUGGCAUAAGCUAGCUUGACUGCGAGCGUGACGGCGCGAGCAGGUGCGAAAGCAGGUCAUAGUGAUCCGGUGGUUCUGAAUGGAAGGGCCAUCGCUCAACGGAUAAAAGGUACUCCGGGGAUAACAGGCUGAUACCGCCCAAGAGUUCAUAUCGACGGCGGUGUUUGGCACCUCGAUGUCGGCUCAUCACAUCCUGGGGCUGAAGUAGGUCCCAAGGGUAUGGCUGUUCGCCAUUUAAAGUGGUACGCGAGCUGGGUUUAGAACGUCGUGAGACAGUUCGGUCCCUAUCUGCCGUGGGCGCUGGAGAAUUGAGGGGGGCUGCUCCUAGUACGAGAGGACCGGAGUGGACGCAUCACUGGUGUUCGGGUUGUCAUGCCAAUGGCACUGCCCGGUAGCUAAAUGCGGAAGAGAUAAGUGCUGAAAGCAUCUAAGCACGAAACUUGCCCCGAGAUGAGUUCUCCCUGAGACUUUAAGUCUCCUGAAGGAACGUUGAAGACGACGACGUUGAUAGGCCGGGUGUGUAAGCGCAGCGAUGCGUUGAGCUAACCGGUACUAAUGAACCGUGAGGCUUAACCUU